Brachypodium distachyon (stiff brome) is the source of this 1850-nucleotide long non-coding RNA. RefSeq lists it as uncharacterized. The record is from RefSeq and is a predicted model, not a curated record. Lineage: Eukaryota; Viridiplantae; Streptophyta; Magnoliopsida; Poales; Poaceae. The transcript is spliced from 3 exons.
CGAAAGGCAAGUGGGCCAGCGGCCAGGGGGCUUUCGGCCUUCCCUUCCCUUGCGCGGGCGGAGGAUUUUGGCCCAAGGAGCUUGGCUCCCUCCUUUUUUUUGCCGAUUCCUUUCGGAAUUUUACCACAUUUUGCUAAUUCUUGGUGGAUCUUUUUGCAAGUGAGAUGGCAGGACCCGAUGUCAAGCGUCCGGUUGGCGAGACGUUGAGGGGGUCUUCCGCGGCGCAGCUUGCGGCGAACCGACCGUCACGGAAGAAGAAGGUCUCCUUCCGCCCUCGUGGUGGCCCUCCCUUGGUUCCGACAGCGCCGGUGGAUGGCGGAGGUUGGGCACACGACCACCUUCUCCCUUCGUCGAUGAGCCCCGAGGAUCUUGCCCAGCUGGAGGAGGCAGGAUACUUCCCCAAGGGGGAUGGUAUCCUGCCCGAUGGCGAGGAGGUGAGGCUCGACCAGCGACGGUGUCCGGGAUGCAUCGUGGCAUUCUCGGCUUGGUUCCACGCUGGCCUGUGUGUACCUGUUCACCCCUUCUUGCUGGAGUUUCUGGAGAUGUACGGCAUCGAGUUGGCCUAGCUUCACCCGUCGACGAUCGUGAGGUUGAACAUUUUCAGGUGGCUGUGUGACACGGCGCUUCACGAGGAGCCUUCGAUGAAGCUUCUACUGUUCUACUUCACCGUGGAGGUGAGGGAGUUGCUCACCCCGGACGGCUUUGCUCUGAGCGUCUUUGGUUCGGUGAACCUGAGGCUUUGUUCCGGUUUUGGGGACGACUUCCUGCUCAUGCCGGGGAAGAGCGCGGAGAGGUUGUUCAUCAAGUGAGAGUCCUAGUGGUUUCUUCUUCGGGCCUCGAAGACCUGUUUUCGGCACACGGGUGAUCUUCCUCAGCACUCUAGGGUCGGUGGCCUUAGGGAGGUGUUUCACCCCGGCGAUCCUCGGUCGGCCGACCUUUGGAAGGUGGCCAAGAUCAAGGAGGUGUCCGCCGAGAGGAGCUCAUGGAGGAGAUGGUGAUGGCGGGGUGCUUCAUGAUGAGGAGCCACCCGAGGUCCGAGAUUGGGAUCCCUCGAUCUUUCCGUCCUCCACAGCUCGUCACCGCACCGACGUUUCCCGAGGAGAGGGCGGCGUUGUGGGCUGCGCAGCUGAUAGGUCCGUAUGGCAGACCGGAGCACCGCGACUACGAGACCAAGAUCAGCGAGGGGGGAUGCCACAACAUCAUCGCGAAGUGCUUCGCGAAGAUGGUGCCGAUGCGACAGGACCCGAAGCUUGGUCGCCUUCUCCGAAUGGGCGAUCGCUACUCCCGCUUGGCUACACCGUCGAUUUUGGCGGUGGGGUCCAAGUUACGGGACUCUUGCGGGAAGGCGAAGGUGGGAAUGGCGGUGCUAGGCUUGGCGGUGCCUGUCGUGCCGGUCCCCAAGAUCCCUCGUUCGUCGAGUGGAUGCAAGAGGAAGGCUCCCCCGACUCCUUCUCCUUCUCUUGACUACGCCCCGACGGAUUCGGCGGAUCCCGUCAUGGGCGAGUUGAGGCCCCCCCUGAGGGUGACCUUGGACCUGCACAUGAAGGGGAAGAUUGGACUUGAGAAAGUUCUUCCUCCUUCAAGUCACGAGGUUGAGGCUUUCACUCGCGAGAUGGGCUUCAGCUUCGGAGCGACUCAGUGGUAGAGUUGUCGACCGGAACCAACGGUGCGGGCGUCCAAGUGUUCUCCAUUGGUCGCGAGCGUCCCGAGGAGGAUGGUCCUACCUCGGGUGCGAGGGCCGCGAAAUCUGGGGUUCUUGAUGGCGAGACCCCAACUCAAGCGAGAGAUGGAGCACUCCCGACGACCGAGGAUGGAGCGAGAGGCCCUUUCGCGACACUGGAGCUGGUGAG